GACAGAGGGUGCAAACGUUGUUCGGAAUUACUGGGCGUAAAGCGCGUGUAGGCGGCCAUCUAAGUCGGGCGUGAAAUCCCACGGCUCAACCGUGGAAGUGCACUCGAAACUGGAUGGCUAGAGUCCUGGAGAGGAAGGUGGAAUGCUUGGUGUAGAGGUGAAAUUCGUAGAUAUUCGCAAGAACACCAGUGGCGAAGGCGGCUCACUGGCCCGAUACUGACGCUGAGGCACGAAAGCGUGGGGAGCAAACAGG
RNAcentral lists this ribosomal RNA (253 nucleotides) under uncultured bacterium. RNAcentral's name for it is "partial 16S ribosomal RNA". It matches the Rfam family "Bacterial small subunit ribosomal RNA", at positions 524 to 776 of the family's 1533-position model. The record is from RNAcentral.